CUCAGGAGGAUUCAGUCCUAAUAUGACAAAGAUACACUGCUGUGACUGAAUCUAAUAAGGGAAGCAGUCGCUUGGAAUGCAGUAUUUCUGCCUUCUUGUGAUAUAUUUCUAUAAAGAUUUGAGUGAAGUAUUCACCUCUUUCAAAACUGGGGUAUAUAUAUUUCCAUUCGAAGACAAGAGCUUCGUCUUCAUGCUUUUUGUGCACCACCUGAGAGAGAAAUCCUGUGGAAAUGCAUUCUGAAGAAAACAGUUGGAUCCUGAAGAAAACAGUUGGAUUCAUUCUUGGAUCAAACUAAUGAAAAUUAAGAAAUGCUUUUAUAUGUCAUUUGGCUGGAGUGUGGGGGGCAACGCCAAAUGGAGACGCUCCAGCUCCCACCUUGCCAGCCGCUGGCCCUGGAAAGGCCUCACUGCUGCAGGCAGUGAGAAGGGCCCCUUCUACACUGGCCCCUCAGGUCUUCUUUGAGCACUGGACAUGGUGUCAAGUGAUGUUUCACAGCAGCAUGCUAAAGUGAAGACGUAGCUGGGAAAGA
Corapipo altera (White-ruffed manakin) is the source of this 530-nucleotide long non-coding RNA. RefSeq lists it as uncharacterized. The transcript is spliced from 3 exons. NCBI's taxonomy places the organism in Eukaryota, Metazoa, Chordata, Aves, Passeriformes, Pipridae. The record is from RefSeq and is a predicted model, not a curated record.